Molecule: ribosomal RNA, 1491 nt
Filed under: uncultured organism
Description: SSU rRNA
Rfam family: Bacterial small subunit ribosomal RNA
Source: RNAcentral
GAACGCUGGCGGCGUGCCUAAUACAUGCAAGUCGAACGAGUUCUGAUUAUUGAAAGGUGCUUGCAUCUUGAUUUAAUUUUGAACGAGUGGCGGACGGGUGAGUAACACGUGGGUAACCUGCCCUUAAGUGGGGGAUAACAUUUGGAAACAGAUGCUAAUACCGCAUAAAUCCAAGAACCGCAUGGUUCUUGGCUGAAAGAUGGCGUAAGCUAUCGCUUUUGGAUGGACCCGCGGCGUAUUAGCUAGUUGGUGAGGUAACGGCCCACCAAGGCAAUGAUACGUAGCCGAACUGAGAGGUUGAUCGGCCACAUUGGGACUGAGACACGGCCCAAACUCCUACGGGAGGCAGCAGUAGGGAAUCUUCCACAAUGGACGCAAGUCUGAUGGAGCAACGCCGCGUGAGUGAAGAAGGCUUUCGGGUCGUAAAACUCUGUUGUUGGAGAAGAAUGGUCGGCAGAGUAACUGUUGUCGGCGUGACGGUAUCCAACCAGAAAGCCACGGCUAACUACGUGCCAGCAGCCGCGGUAAUACGUAGGUGGCAAGCGUUAUCCGGAUUUAUUGGGCGUAAAGCGAGCGCAGGCGGUUUUUUAAGUCUGAUGUGAAAGCCCUCGGCUUAACCGAGGAAGUGCAUCGGAAACUGGGAAACUUGAGUGCAGAAGAGGACAGUGGAACUCCAUGUGUAGCGGUGAAAUGCGUAGAUAUAUGGAAGAACACCAGUGGCGAAGGCGGCUGUCUGGUCUGUAACUGACGCUGAGGCUCGAAAGCAUGGGGUAGCGAACAGGAUUAGAUACCCUGGUAGUCCAUGCCGUAAACGAUGAAUGCUAGGUGUUGGAGGGUUUCCGCCCUUCAGUGCCGCAGCUAACGCAUUAAGCAUUCCGCCUGGGGAGUACGACCGCAAGGUUGAAACUCAAAGGAAUUGACGGGGGCCCGCACAAGCGGUGGAGCAUGUGGUUUAAUUCGAAGCAACGCGAAGAACCUUACCAGGUCUUGACAUCUUUUGAUCACCUGAGAGAUCAGGUUUCCCCUUCGGGGGCAAAAUGACAGGUGGUGCAUGGUUGUCGUCAGCUCGUGUCGUGAGAUGUUGGGUUAAGUCCCGCAACGAGCGCAACCCUUAUGACUAGUUGCCAGCAUUUAGUUGGGCACUCUAGUAAGACUGCCGGUGACAAACCGGAGGAAGGUGGGGAUGACGUCAAAUCAUCAUGCCCCUUAUGACCUGGGCUACACACGUGCUACAAUGGAUGGUACAACGAGUUACGAGACCGCGAGGUCAAGCUAAUCUCUUAAAGCCAUUCUCAGUUCGGACUGUAGGCUGCAACUCGCCUACACGAAGUCGGAAUCGCUAGUAAUCGCGGAUCAGCACGCCGCGGUGAAUACGUUCCCGGGCCUUGUACACACCGCCCGUCACACCAUGAGAGUUUGUAACACCCGAAGCCGGUGGCGUAACCCUUUUAGGGAGCGAGCCGUCUAAGGUGGGACAAAUGAUUAGGGUGA